RNAcentral lists this ribosomal RNA (491 nucleotides) under uncultured bacterium. RNAcentral's name for it is "partial 16S ribosomal RNA". It matches the Rfam family "Bacterial small subunit ribosomal RNA", at positions 29 to 506 of the family's 1533-position model. The record is from RNAcentral.
AGUGAACGCUGGCGGUAGGCCUAACACAUGCAAGUCGAACGGCAGCACAGUAAGAGCUUGCUCUUACGGGUGGCGAGUGGCGGACGGGUGAGGAAUACAUCGGAAUCUACUUUUUCGUGGGGGAUAACGUAGGGAAACUUACGCUAAUACCGCAUACGACCUACGGGUGAAAGCAGGGGAUCUUCGGACCUUGCGCGAUUGAAUGAGCCGAUGUCGGAUUAGCUAGUUGGCGGGGUAAAGGCCCACCAAGGCGACGAUCCGUAGCUGGUCUGAGAGGAUGAUCAGCCACACUGGAACUGAGACACGGUCCAGACUCCUACGGGAGGCAGCAGUGGGGAAUAUUGGACAAUGGGCGCAAGCCUGAUCCAGCCAUACCGCGUGGGUGAAGAAGGCCUUCGGGUUGUAUAGCCCUUUUGUUGGGAAAGAAAAGCAGCAGGUUAAGACCCCGCUGUUCUGACGGUACCCAAAGAAUAAGCACCGGCUAACUUCGU